CAGUUCGGAUUGAAGGCUGAAAUUCGCCUUCAUGAAGCUGGAAUUGCUAGUAAUGGCAGGUCAGCAUACUGCCGUGAAUACGUUCCCGGGCCCUUGUACACACCGCCCGUCACACCAUGAGAGUUGGGGAUACCCGAAGCCUGUGAGCUAACUUUUAGAGGCAGCAGUCGAAGGUAGAAUCAAUGAUUGGGGUGAAGUCGUAACAAGGUAUC
Molecule: ribosomal RNA, 212 nt
Filed under: uncultured bacterium
Lineage: Bacteria
Description: partial 16S ribosomal RNA
Rfam family: Bacterial small subunit ribosomal RNA
Source: RNAcentral